GGAUGUGAGGGCAGUCUGGCUCUGCUGCCUAUCACCCCAGUGAUCACCACAGCCGAUUUUGCUGAUCCAGCUGGCGAGGUGAGUGUUCCCUUCUUUUCUUACAGCCCCAUAUGUGUCCCUCCCCAAAACGGCUUGUUUGGUCAGAGAGAAUGAUCUUCUAGAAGAGCAGGGCCCGCUAUUCCUUGGUUAACGGUAUACAAACAACUGCACUUAGUAGCUAGAACCUCCAGAAAAGCUUUAAAGAAUGCAGAAGUCUUCAGGAGUAAUUCUCAGAAGCCAGCAAUACUCAAACCACGUAAUGUUUUU
RNAcentral lists this small nuclear RNA (306 nucleotides) under Microtus ochrogaster (prairie vole). RNAcentral's name for it is "7SK RNA (ENSMOCG00000010180.1)". It matches the Rfam family "7SK RNA". From Rfam's summary of the family: 7SK was discovered as an abundant small nuclear RNA in the mid-70s but a possible function has only recently been suggested. Two independent studies have found that 7SK RNA binds the CDK9/cyclin T complex (known as elongation factor P-TEFb). The record is from RNAcentral. Lineage: Eukaryota; Metazoa; Chordata; Mammalia; Rodentia; Cricetidae.